This 126-nucleotide small nucleolar RNA is filed under the name Echinops telfairi (small Madagascar hedgehog). RNAcentral describes it as "Small nucleolar RNA SNORA61 (ENSETEG00000025745.1)". Lineage: Eukaryota; Metazoa; Chordata; Mammalia; Afrosoricida; Tenrecidae. The record is from RNAcentral.
AUUCCAGAUUCCUCACCUAUCAGAUCUGAAACAUGGGUCUGGGUGGCAAUAAAAAGUAGGGAAAAGUAAAACUGAAAGGGACUUGGACUCUUUUGUGACAUACAAGUUGGUUCCAGACAGACAGAC